Long non-coding RNA from Vombatus ursinus (common wombat), 569 nucleotides. RefSeq lists it as uncharacterized. Lineage: Eukaryota; Metazoa; Chordata; Mammalia; Diprotodontia; Vombatidae. The record is from RefSeq and is a predicted model, not a curated record. The transcript is spliced from 3 exons.
AGUCGUCCUAAAUGAAAGGCAGCUCCCGCACGCAGAAGGUCUAACUCCUGAGCUCCCUGGAGUGGCCGCCCAUCUGCCUUCUGCUAACUCUGGGCAAGAUGAACACAGCUGUCUUUGUUUCCAGGGCCUGGCUUUCCCAUCAGCGUCCGGGCUCCCGGCCCUCGGUGAAGUUUAUUUCUCUGUCUGGCCAAACGACAGUGAAGUUAAUGCCAAGAUCCCACUAUCCGCCGCUCCCCGCCUGAAAUCAGCUCAACCCUCACAUGUCACAACAAACAUGCCAUGCUGCCAGUUUAUUUAUCAGGUGUUCUCAUUAAAAAUAACACCACUUGAGGGCCAAGAAAGGCAUUUAAAAAAAUUUCCCUGCACUACCAAAGGACUCUAUAACUCAAAAAUUUUAAGAAUCUGAGAUCACAGGCCAGUUUGAAGAGAGUUUAGAAGCAAGUGAGAAGUGUAAGCACCUAGCGUAGACAACUUUCUCAAGUUUGGAUUAGAAGGGGAAAAGACGGAAGCGGUGAAAAAUAAAAGACUGCAGAAUCAAUGUAGUGAUGCAAUGUCGACCCAUUGUCAGA